AACCUGCUGUGAUUGGAAAAUGGAUAUUCCAUUGUCUGCUGUAGGAGUACAAAUUCCUGCAGAUUCAGGAUAGCCUCUUUCUUGGUUUGGCAAGCUCCUACUUUCCUAUAAUCUGUAAAAUAGGGAUAACAUCUCUAUACCAGAAUUGAACUGAUAUUGAAUUAUAGGAGAUAGAUUUGAGUUUAUACACAGAUUAGCCAUAACGUCUCAAUGAAUGGCCUUUACCUUCUUUGCCUGCCUUGGCUGGAGCAGAGAAAAAGUAUGACUGUUGGCUACCAUGGCGGACAGUAAAUGCUCUUUGGCUGACGGAAGUGUGCUCUUUGGAUGCCCACAUCCCCGCUUUCCACCCUCUGCUCUCCCUUCUGCAGUGUUAGGUGUGCAGCAGACACUGUCCUGAGUCUGUGUACUGUCCCCCUCCUAAUGCAUGGAAGAUCCUGGGGGAGGCGGGCAGAAGCUGCUCUGCGUGAGUGAAGGAGCCUGACUCACCACUCAAUAGCUGUGUGGCUUUGGGAAUAGUCCUUGUUUUCUUGAGGCUUCGGUUUCCCCUCAUGCUAAUGGGAGGCUAGAUUAGGGGCUCCUGGCCUCUCCCUACCAGGUCCGAAACCCUCAAUUCUCUGACUCUGUCUCCCCCCACCAUUUUGCUCAGUCCAGGCUCUGGACCCCACUGGUACAGAAUCAACAUUUGGUGAGUAGAACGUUGGCACACUUUUUUUAUGCAAUCAUUUCCUAUUUUCCUUUUUAAUAGGCUCUUUAAAUCAAAUACCCUUCAGAAACCAAAAGGGAAAAAAACGGCAAAUUACCCAAACGCCACCAGAUCACUGGUACCUAUUCAUGAUCAUUGGGCCUUUCCAGGGACCUCGAAUUCCCCAUGCAAAGCCAAAUAACUGCGGAAAGAAAUGUCCCUAGUGAGGCUGCGUGGCAGAGAGAAUGGUAGGCUGCAAACCCACUGGAUGACUCUGGUCCCAAAACCCACCAGACCCUUUAGAGUCACUGAUCGCCUCAUGAUGAAAGAAAGCCCUGUUUCAUGAAACGAGGACCAAGAAAAGGGUUAAGCCCUGAACGGUUUGUUUCCUCAGAUGCUGCCUGCCCUAGAAUCUGGGAUUAACUCCGGCCAUUAAUAUUUUAAGCAACCAAUUUGACAUUUUUCCAUUUAAUUAACUUGCAUACAUAUGAGAACAGGGUUUUGAGAGUACCGUGACAUUUAAACAAAGUCACUGAAGUUUUCCCAUUUCUGAAGGAGUGCUGUUCUUUUCCUUGCCUUUUUUCUUUUCUGCUCCAUUUCUGUUUUGCAUUCCUGAUUCUGAGGCUGGCUUAUUAGCUCAGAGAAAUGACGGAAUUUCCCAAAGCAAAUGUCCAAAGCCUCAACCUAGGUGACGUGGGUGGGCUGCGGCUCUUUUAAACUCGAUCCCGCUCUUUUCCAAGCCUUUGUACAAAUGGCGUUUCAAUCAGAGCAGGCCCACGUCACAGGCUAAUGUUUUCCUCUUGCCACACCAUCCCCUGGUGGGAGCGGAGGAGGGGCGGCGGGGGUGCAGAAUGUCGAUCCAAUGUAACCAUCUCCGCAGAAGCGCUGGGCUUUCAAGAGGGAAACAAUAGCUCAGUGAGGAGUCUCUUCCAAAUGAUAUGCAAUUGCUGUCAUGGCAUCAAGUAAUGAAGAAAUAAGGGAAAAGAGACAAAUAGUGUGUAUCCAUUGAGGGCUGGUGUGGGGGGACUGGGCAGAGAGGCUCACUCCAUGUUCCGCAAUUGAAAAAUUGCCCCCUAAUUAGCUCCCACCCCAGAGAAUUCAUGAGUUCUCUGUGCCAUCCAAUCCCCAGCCGGCCAAGUCACAGAACGUGCAGCCCUUAAUUUUACUGCUGGUUUCAGAAGGGGUUGUGCGGUCUCCAAGUGCUCUGACAGAAUGAGACACUUCGGCUCGCCCAGCCCUCAGAAAGGACCCAUUACUUCAUACUUUCAUCUGCCAUAAUUAAUCACAGAUUUUCUCUGCCUAUCCACUGCUCUGGCUGCUCUCCCCAGAUGAACCUGGGUGCUCCUAGCUCCAGCUUAUCCAUGGUGGUGGCCAGGCCAGCCAGGCUCAGAUGGCACAGGGGCAGCAAUCCCGGAGGCAAAUCAGUGCCCCUCCUCCUCGCAGGCAUCUUGGAUCCCGCAUUGAAAGUGAAAGCCCAUUGCAAGCUCAUAGUCCUCUGGAGAAACUCCGUGUCUCCCUUUCUACCCACACUCAGGAUAUUCCUUGGGGAUGUCUGCUGAGGCCAUCAGACUUUCAGAAGAAAACACCCCCUUCCCCGUCCCCCGUAAGACAGGAGCAUCCUCAUUCUCCUCCAUCCCUCGCCCUGGGCCUGGGUUUAAAUCCCAGCUCUGCGACCUCAUUUGCUGCAUGAUCUUGGGAAAGUGACUUGGUCCACCUGAGCAUGAGUUUUUCCUUUUGUAAAAUGGAGCUAAGGGUGCCUACCAUUCAGGAAACGAUGGUGCCUGGAGGACGCCAUGGGUAAAUGACCUGUGUACCGUUGCGGUGUACCUGUGCACCACCUCUUGAUCCUUCUAUGUAAAGUGAGGGCAAUAAACCUACCUUCCCACUAGGGUUUAAUGAAAAUUGAGUAAAGAAUGCCUUGCACCAAGGUGGUAUCCAGCAAAUAUUUCAAUUGAAUUGAACUGAAUCGUACAUAAUUGGUUCAUUCAUUCCUUUAAUCCACCAGCUAAUAGCUGUUGAGUGACUGCUUUUGGUCAGACACUUUGUUUGGCAUGAGAUAUACCAAGAGGAAGGCGACAGACUUGAUUCAUGCCCUCAGGAGCUUCCAUUCUAGGAGAAAACACAAUGAAAAAUAUUUUUUAAAAAAUCACACGCGUCGUAAAAAGUUCUAUUUAAAAAAAAUAACGUAGAUCUAGGCUAACGGGUGCAUGGUGACUUUGAAAUGAACCCUAGAUGCUGAAGAGACAAGCAUGUGAGGAAUAAUAGGGAAAAGCACUCUAAGCAGAGGGAACAGCAUGGGAGAAGCAGAAUGAAUCUUAAUGUAUUCCAGGCACUGAGAACAGGUGAUUAGUCAGGGUACAUAUUUCUAGCUGCUGGAGCACAUCUAGUGAGCACAAAUCUCAGUGGUUCCGCACAGUAAAUGUUUAUUCCUCCUCCUUAUUUUAGCUGCUCUACCAUUCCCUAUGGUCUCCUUGAACUGGAUCCUGCCCUAUCCCAUGAUGCCCCAUGCAUUCUAGGAUAUUCCUUACACUCCAGUUUGGAUUUUAUUCAGUGAGAAUGGCAAGCCAGUCAAAAGUGAUGAUAUGAUCUGAUUUGUAUCUUAAGUUCUGCCUGCUAUGAGGGGAACAUAUCUGCAGAGGGCAAUGAUGCUCCCUUGCAGGUACCCUGGAUUUGGGUGGUGAGAAAAAGGAUGGAGAGAAAGUGACAGAUGCAAGAGAUGGCAUCCCCAUUGGAACUGGUUUCAGUCUUGCCGGCUGGCAAGCCGACAGGCCCCUGCUGAUUGCCUAGGGUAUGGGACAGUGCUGCAAAAGAUUAGAGAAAACAUAAGAGCACGGGGCAAGGCAGCUAGCUGUGCAGCAUAAUUUCAGAAAUGACCACCUGGGCCAAUAGCUGGGAGUCCAUUCCUUUCUGGACCUUUGGCUUCCUGGCUCGGUGCAGCACCAGACCCUCCCCAGGCCCUGUUUUCACUGGGGUUAGAGAGGUUAACAUUCAGCCAGGCCGGUUCCCACUGGUCCCAGUGCAGGUGGCCAGAGGGCAGCGGGGAGGGGGUGGCCAGUCUGUGCAGAACAUGACCACUCCCAGAGCACAGGCUCCAAGUUGUUCCAUUUAUUCCUCCCAACAGGGCUGGGAGGAUGGAGUUAUCAUUGACCCCAUUUUACAGACAAAGAAACAGACUCAUGUUGCUCCUGUGACUUGCCCGUGGCUACCCUGUUGGUGACAGCCCCAGGACUGAACACAGGCCUCCUGUUUGUUCUGUUGGCAGGAUUGUCCAGACUCACUUGGAGGCCAAAAGAUGAGGGAGGAUCUGCCUGCGUCUCUUGGCGGUCCAUGCUUCCUGCCCACGUGGCAGUGGCCACCCUGAACUGGAUGCUGCCCUGUUCCCUGAUGCACAGUUUGUCCCACGGAGCAGUGCCUUUGGACAGGCCACUGGCUUACCAACCUGGCUGAUCUUUGCAAUUACCUGGUAGUCUUUAAACAUACACUAUCCUAGCCACUCCAGAUGCAUCAAAGGAGAAUCUUUAAGUGGAUGGGGACCUGGCAGCCGUGUUUUUAAAAUCUCUCCAGGUGCUCAGAUAAAAACACUAGACAUUGUCAGUGGAUGCAUGAGUGGGUUAAAUGAGGCUCAGGGAUGGAGCAUCAUUAAGGCAUGAAUGAGUGACAGGGUCAGGAGAAGAAAAUGAGUCUCCUGCCUUUCUCAUCUCUUUUUUCCCCAGGACUGUAUGAUGCUCUGCAAGAGGUUAUGGGAAAAUCCAUCCUUAUCAAUGAUCUGAAAAUGUCGGAGCUGGGCAGGAGCUUUGAGGUUAUCUUUCCAACACAGUGGCUCCCAAUUGCCUGCUGGACAAGCUGUGUCAGAGUUACACGCGGUGCAUUUUACGACACGGGCUCCUGGCCUCCCCCUGUACCUACUGACCAUAUCAGCAGUGGGAAGACCUUGGAAUCUAUAUUUUCAAAGUCUCUCUGAAGAGACACCAUGGGCUCUGCAAAGGCUGAGAUGAUAACUUAUGCUCCGGAUCUCCCCAGGGCCGUGUUCAAGGAGUCAAGAGGAAGUCUGUGGUUAGACAUCUUCGGGUGGAGACAUACACAAACACAGUGGCUAGAAAUGGGCUCCGCGGAUUCAGCUUUCCCAGCCCUGUGGGGAGUUGGGGGGUGUGGGGUGGGGGGAUGGACGCAUGCAACUGAACAAAUGAGAAGGAGGGAGGGGGGAGGGAGGGAAGGACGACUGAACCUCUACCCCUGGGCCUCCUAGAUGUGCAGCAGCACCCACCAUUCUCUGCCUCCAGCCCACCUCUGUUUCCCAUUCUGAUGGUCGGAUACUGUGAUCCACUUUUUCCUCAAAGGCUGAGGCCACCUGAUUCACCUUCACGCCAACCCAGAGACUGCAUAUAAAAGAUCCCUGUGAAUUCAAUGUCCAGCUCUGUGGUGGGCACGGCCAGCUGCCACACACCAUGGACCCUAGCCUCUCCUUUUCCAUCAAAAUCCUGGGUUUGAUCAGGCUAGUGGGGGGCCUGGCUACAAAUGCUCACAUCUCUGACCACCCGCAUACCUAGAAGCAGGCCCUUUGAUUAGAGUUCAGGCCAAUGAGCUAUGAUAUUUCUAAGAAAAUACUUUCAUUCAUAAUAUAGGCACCAACUCUUCCUCCUCCUUGCCCCCCACGCCACCUUUUUUGCCUAGAACUUGAACACAAGGCCUGGAGGUGUAGCAGCCACCUUGUGGUUAUGAGGCAGCCGCAUGAGGAUGACAUUAGUGCAGAAAAACAGAAAGAGGCCAGAGGCUCAGUGGCAUUCUUAUAUCACCUUCUACCCUGUACAGACUCACCAGAGACUUCUAAUUUCAUGAGAAAAAUAAAGCUUCAGCUGGUCAAACCA
RNAcentral lists this long non-coding RNA (5547 nucleotides) under Sus scrofa (pig). RNAcentral describes it as "lncRNA (ENSSSCG00060013440.1)". Lineage: Eukaryota; Metazoa; Chordata; Mammalia; Artiodactyla; Suidae. The record is from RNAcentral.